CCUACGGGGGGCAGCAGUGGGGGAUAUUGCACAAUGGGGGAAACCCUGAUGCAGCGACGCCGCGUGGGUGAAGAAGUAUUUCGGUAUGUAAAGCCCUAUCAGCAGGGAAGAAAGAAGACGGUACCUGACUAAGAAGCCCCGGCUAACUACGUGCCAGCAGCCGCGGUAAUACGUAGGGGGCGAGCGUUAUCCGGAUUCACUGGGUGUAAAGGGAGCGUAGACGGCCGUGCAAGCCAGGAGUGAAAGCCCGGGGCGCAACCCCGGGACUGCUAUUGGAACUGUGAGGCUGGAGUGCGGGAGGGGCAGGCGGAAUUCCUGGUGUAGCGGUGAAAUGCGUAGAUAUCAGGAGGAACACCGGCGGCGAAGGCGGCCUGCUGGACCGCGACUGACGUUGAGGCUCGAAAGCGUGGGGAGCGAACAGGAUUAGAUACCCCUGUAGUC
Molecule: ribosomal RNA, 441 nt
Filed under: uncultured bacterium
Lineage: Bacteria
Description: partial 16S ribosomal RNA
Rfam family: Bacterial small subunit ribosomal RNA
Source: RNAcentral